Small nuclear RNA from Nycticebus coucang (slow loris), 107 nucleotides. NCBI's taxonomy places the organism in Eukaryota, Metazoa, Chordata, Mammalia, Primates, Lorisidae. The record is from RefSeq and is a predicted model, not a curated record.
GUGAUCGCUUAGGCAGCACAUAUACUAAAAUUGGAACAAUAUAGAGAAGAUUAGCAAGGCUCUUUCACAAGGGUGACUUGCAAAUUUGUGAAGUGUUCCGUAUUUUU